Molecule: non-coding RNA, 4527 nt
Organism: Microcebus murinus (gray mouse lemur)
Lineage: Eukaryota; Metazoa; Chordata; Mammalia; Primates; Cheirogaleidae
Source: RefSeq, a predicted model, not a curated record
GUCGGUUAGGGGCCGCCGGUCUGCGGAGCCCUGCGCCCCGCCCAGCGCGGCCCACGCGAGGCCCAGCGGAGCCGCGUUCCUGCCCCGAGGUGGCGCGGCCCGGACACCGCAGGUGCUGCCUGGGCUCCUGCCUCUCUCGCCUGGUUUAAGGUUGCCAUGACCAUCGAUCCAGCUGAGCCCAACGUGAGAUUUAAGAAGAACUACCUGGACUUAAUGCCCCCUUUCGACCGUUCUAAGCACAAGCAUGUGAUUGAAGACCAAUAUUGUCACCUGUGCGAGUCUUCCUGAGCCUGAAAGCAAUACAUUGUGGAUCUUGCAACAAGUGCAUGACUGGCUUUGACCACCACUGUGAAUGGCUCAACAACUGCAUGGGCACCAGGAACUACCUGUCUGAAAGGGGCCUCGGCUCGGGGCCAGAACAGGCCGCCCGUCCCGGCCGAGUGUCAGAACGUGCUGUGAGAUUCAGCUCCCUCUGCCUACCCACCAUGCUGCACGGGAGACCUGGAGACGCAGGCGAGAACGCAUGUCCUGCAGAAUUGCACGCCUGGGAGCGAGCUGGGCGGCCCCGCCCCUCCUGCUCCCCUGGAGAGGGGCAGCCCCAGGUGGCCAGAGGCAGGGCCAGGUCCUCUCGCUCAUGCUGGCCACAGGGCUCGCUGCCUCCUGGAUGCUGGCUUGUCGUGGCAGUGUCUGGUUCCUCAGCUGGUCAGAUUCCUCUUUGGAAGGUGCUAUACGGGGAUGUUGAGGGCAUGUGGCCCCACCAUGAGGGGCACAUGGGCACAUGGCAGGGAGAGGCACUGCCUUCUCAGAGGAGCACCCAGAGGGAAGGGUGCUUUGUGGAGCAGCACCACCCAUGCUCACAGAUAGACUGCGCUGGGUUUCAUGACGUUCAGUCAUGAGCCCCCAGUGCGGUUCCGGAACUCAGGGCCCAGCCUGCACGCUCAUUGGGGAGGGAGCCCUGGUCUGAGCAAAGCGGGAGGUGGGCAGUGCAGGCGCACCUCUGACCCUGGGGCCAGCCACGCCCAGCGGGCCCGGUUGGCCUGGGCACAUCAGGCGGUGUCUAUGAGCCUCAGUUUCCUUAUUUGUGAAAAAGGACUGGUUCCCCUCCUCACAGCCUCCGUGUGGGGAUUAAAUGAAGCCAUGCCUGCACUGUGUAAAUUGCAAGGCAGUCAAAACUAUAGGUGUGACCAACAGUCAUCACCAGUCAGGGGCAUCUGCCUGGAGAACUGGGAAUGGUCAGAUGUGGGGCACAGAGCAGGGUGGGCCAGAGGGUGGCAGGAACACUCAGGUCGCCUCCCUUCUUGGGUGGCCGGCUGGUACCUGGCCUGUCUGUCCUCAGCUGGCUCUUGUGCCCCGGCCUCAGCCUCUGCCUCUCCCUCAGGUUCUUCUUCCGCUGGGUGGCCUCAUCCUCAGUAAGCCUGGUCUGCAUUAUGGCGUCCUGCUGUUCGUCUCCAUGCAGUUCUACACGGACCCAGACCAGCUCCACAGACCUGGAGUUGGUGAGAAUGCUGCCGCCAUGCUCUGGGGCUGCUGUGUCCACACUUGGCCUCCAGCCCCACGCUCCAGCCACCUUCCAGGGCAAGAGUGUUGAGUCUGGGAGGGGUCAGCCCCACUCACACCAGCGAGAGGGUGGGGGGGCUGGAGCUGGCAAGCCCUGGUGUGCCCCUGGCUGGGCGCCUCUUGCAGGCUUCAACGCUGGGCUGCAAGCUGCGGCCCCGGGAGGCUGUGCAACCAGGCGACCCUGUACUGCCCAGCCCCUGGGCACAGGGAAGGCAAGCACCCAGCCUGCAGGAGAGGGGAGAGCAGAAGGGGCCAGUGGUGCAGGGCAUGGGCUCCAAGGGGCAGCUCCAUGGAGCUCUCUGCUCCGUGUCCAGGUGCCCGGGCCUGAGCAGCAGACGUCUGCAGCAGUAGAGGGAGCGGUGUGUUGGGCUCAAGGUGGCCUCCAGAGAGGUGUGCAUGUCCCAACCCCGGACCUGUAACAGCCACCUUAUGGGGAAAAGGGUCUUUGCAAAUGUGAUUAAGGAUCUUGAGAUGAGGAGACCAUCUGGGUUAUCCGGGAGGACCCCAAUCCAAUGACGAACAUCCUCAUAAAAGACAGAAGAGGAGACACAGACACGGAGGAGAAGCCACGUGGAGACGGACGCAGAGACUAGAGUGAUGUGGCCACAAGCCAAGGGACGCCUGGAGCCCCGGGAGCUGGAAGAGGCAGGAAGGAGCCUGCAGAGGGAGCACGGCCCCGAGAAACCUGCUUGUCAGACUUGGCCUCCAGAAUGUGAAAAGAUGCUGUUGCUGAAGGCCCCCAGAGUGUGGCCAUCUGUCAUGACAGCCACAGGAUGCUGACCCUCAAGCACCGGAGGAGCAGCCGCUCAGGGUCAGAUCGCAGCCACUUGUCUCCCUGCCCUGGGGUUGGGUUGAGGCCACCUGUCUCAGCCCUAGGCAUGGCUUCUGUAGGGUGUCAGAGCCAACCCUCAAGGCAGGAGGGGCAGGACCAGCACACCACUCGUUCUAGAACAUUCCCAGAACCAACGCGAUGUCAAAGCUUUCAAGAGUGAGCUUUGCUCUGCCUGUGUGGAAGGCCCUUCAGCUCCUCUGCCCACUGGGAAGAGCCGGCUGUGACCCCAGGGCUACUCAGACGCUCCUGAAGCACUUUCUGAGCAGGCUGCACUGGGUGCGCCUGCCCUCAGGCCCAGCGCCACCUGCCUGAUGUGCACUGAGGAGUCCUCUUCCCAGACGGUCUCCACGUUACCUGGCCUCUCGCUCCGGUAGGAUGUGGGGGGGGAGGGACAGGAGCAGAGCUGUCGGCCGCAGGGCCCUGGCGCGGCUUCUCUCCUGGAGACACACCAGCUCUGCACAGGACUGUGACUGGCUCCAUGGAAGUUCCUGACUGUGGACUGGAGCGAUUUCCUGCAUUUACUGUUCCAGAAGAUUCCACAGGGCUUCAUCGUCACCAGAUCCCUGAGCAAAGCCAGGUCUCUCUGCUUCUCUCCUUGGAGCUGGACCCGUUGUGACAUCGCUGGCUGAGUGGGGUCCAGCCCGGCCCCACGGAGCUCUGCCACCCCACUGUGGGACGCAGAUGUCGGGGCUGGAGUUCAGUCUCCCACUUCUCCACCCUGCACACUCCUCAGUGUGCUGCUCACACCGGGGUUUUGGAAGUGAUGUGGCUUUGAAUGCUGGCUGCUCUGGGGUCUCGAGGCCGUCCUAGAGAUGCCCCCAGGUGAGGGCUGCGGCCCCCUGUCCUAUCUGAGGCAGGUUGAGAAUGGAAGGGCCCAGGGAGGCAGGAGGGCCUGUGCAGGGCAUGGGUCUCGGGGGCCGGCGGGGGGACAGGCUCAUAACCUGGGCACUCAGUUUCCCUCCUGAGCCCAAGUGGGGAUUGUGACAGCAGCCGUGGUCGGGGGGACCAGGCCUGGGUGAGGCAGGCAUGUUGGAGUGGGGCGGCAUCCCCCGGGCUGAUCGAAGGCUGCUGUGUCAGAGGGCUGGACAGACGGGCCUCUGUCUCCACAGAUCUCGGGGGGCACCGACACGUGGCUGUGGUUCCUGCCCGUCUUCCCCGUCGAGGUCAACACAAAUGUCUCGUUACUCAUCCUCAUUCCCACCAUCCUGCAUGAAGCCUGCAGCCUGGUCUCCAUCGGGCAUGUGCUGAUCUUCACCUCCGCCUCAGUGCCUGUCCCAGCCCCGCCCCGCGUGCCCUCACCUGUCCCAGGCAGGCAGCUCCCAGGUCAGCCCAUGCCAGAAACGAGAUCAUAGGCAAAAAGAACAAAUCACAGGAAGAAAAGAAAUACCACCCGAGGGUCAGCAGGUCCAUCCAGGAAUUGAAUUCACGUUCCUAGACCUGCAGAAAGCACAGAGAGGCUUCUAAACUAAUAGAUUUAAAAUGUUUAAAGAGACAAAGGAAUAGGACCUAUUAGGCAAGAAUAGGACAUUAUGAAGAAAGAAUAGGUGGAUUUUUAAAAGCACCAAAUGGAGAUUCUAGCAAUGAAAAUUAGCAGUCUCCAUGGACAGGCUAUCUGUCCAUGGAGAUUGCUAAUGGACAAGCGCCGAGGGCAGCGCAGGCCUGGUCACAUGGGACUGGGGAAGGUGGAGCUUCUCCCACUGCAGGAAGCUUUUUUUUGGAAGUCACAACCACGUCCUUCCUCGUGGCACACAAGGUCUCUGCCACAGCGGGUCAGCCCCUGGGCUGCAGUCUCAGAGGAUGUCACAGGGGCCAGCAGCCAGGCCAGAGCGGCUCCAGGCUCCUGCGAACACGCUGCCCAUCCCCUCUGGGGUGGAGGGCCAGGCCGGGCUCUGGGCUCACCCCAGCCCCUGCGCUCCCAGGGCGGCCUCCUCCCGCGGUUGCGGGCAGAACACCCAGCACCGAGCAAACUCCCCUCCCUGUUCCCACAAGCCACCAUCAGCUCACAGCCCGAGAAUGUUUCAGAGCAUACAUUUCUAAUGCAAAUCUUGCAGUUACUGUUGUCUUGCCUGAGGCUUGGAAUCUUUUAAGCGUGUACAGUGAAGACGACUGGAUUAAACCUUACGGGCACAAUACUCAAA